This 208-nucleotide ribosomal RNA is filed under the name uncultured delta proteobacterium. RNAcentral's name for it is "partial 16S ribosomal RNA". It matches the Rfam family "Bacterial small subunit ribosomal RNA", at positions 568 to 775 of the family's 1533-position model. The record is from RNAcentral. Lineage: Bacteria; Deltaproteobacteria.
CGUGUAGGCGGCCUGAUGUGUCAGAUGUGAAAGCCCUGGGCUUAACCCAGGAAGUGCAUUUGAAACUGUUAGGCUUGAGUAGGGGAGAGGGAAGUGGAAUUCCUGGUGUAGAGGUGAAAUUCGUAGAUAUCAGGAGGAACACCGGUGGCGAAGGCGACUUCCUGGCCCUAUACUGACGCUGAGACGCGAGAGCGUGGGUAGCAAACAG